CCAGCUGUGAAGGAGGCGGGGCUUCCGUGACGCACCCGGAAGAGAUUUCCACGUGUGUCGCUGUGUUGUUGAGCCUCACGCUGAAGAUGUCGGAGGAUCAGCUGUGUCUGAACAUCAGUGUGUCCUCGUCUCCUUCCCUCAGGAGGAAGCCUCUCACCACUCAGCAGAGAUGGGCCAGAAAGAAGCAGAAUGCAGGGAAGAGGAAGAUGAACUCCUCC
Notothenia coriiceps (black rockcod) is the source of this 218-nucleotide long non-coding RNA. RefSeq lists it as uncharacterized. NCBI's taxonomy places the organism in Eukaryota, Metazoa, Chordata, Actinopteri, Perciformes, Nototheniidae. The record is from RefSeq and is a predicted model, not a curated record. The transcript is spliced from 3 exons.